GAUGAACGCUGGCGGCGUGCCUAACACAUGCAAGUCGAGCGUGAUUUAUGAGGACGAAACUUCGGUCUAGGAAUCAUAAUGAAAGCGGCGGACGGGUGAGUAACGCGUAGGCAACCUGCCCUUAACACAGGGAUAGCCUCGGGAAACCGGGAUUAAAACCUGAUGAUGCCAAAGAGUCACAUGGCUCGUUGGCCAAAGAUUUAUCGGUUAAGGAUGGGCCUGCGUCUGAUUAGUUUGUUGGUGGGGUAACGGCCUACCAAGACUACGAUCAGUAGCCGACCUGAGAGGGUGAUCGGCCACAUUGGAACUGAGACACGGUCCAAACUCCUACGGGAGGCAGCAGUGGGGAAUAUUGCACAAUGGGCGAAAGCCUGAUGCAGCAACGCCGCGUGAGCGAUGAAGGCCUUUGGGUCGUAAAGCUCUGUCCUUGGGGAAGAAACAAAUGACGGUACCCAAGGAGGAAGCCCCGGCUAACUACGUGCCAGCAGCCGCAGUAA
This 497-nucleotide ribosomal RNA is filed under the name uncultured bacterium. Its description in RNAcentral is "partial 16S ribosomal RNA". It matches the Rfam family "Bacterial small subunit ribosomal RNA", at positions 28 to 523 of the family's 1533-position model. The record is from RNAcentral.